AGAGUGAACGCUGGCGGCAUGCCUAACACAUGCAAGUCGAACGGUAACAGGCCCGCAAGGGUGCUGACGAGUGGCGGACGGGUGAGGAAUACAUCGGAAUCUGCCCGGUUGUGGGGGAUAACGUAGGGAAACUUACGCUAAUACCGCAUACGACCUACGGGUGAAAGCGGGGGACCUUCGGGCCUCGCGCAGUCGGAUGAGCCGAUGUCGGAUUAGCUAGUUGGCGGGUAAAGGCCCACCAAGGCGACGAUCCGUAGCUGGUCUGAGAGGAUGAUCAGCCACACUGGGACUGAGACACGGCCCAGACUCCUACGGAGGCAGCAGUGGGGAAUAUUGGACAAUGGGGGCAACCCUGAUCCAGCAAUGCCGCGUGUGUGAAGAAGGCCUUCGGGUUGUAAGCACUUUAUCCGGAACGAACGCGUGGGGUGAAUAGCCUUACGAACUGACGGUACCGGAGGAAUAAGCACCGGCUAACUUCGUGCCAGCAGCCGC
RNAcentral lists this ribosomal RNA (492 nucleotides) under uncultured bacterium. Its description in RNAcentral is "SSU rRNA". It matches the Rfam family "Bacterial small subunit ribosomal RNA", at positions 26 to 518 of the family's 1533-position model. The record is from RNAcentral.